Molecule: ribosomal RNA, 486 nt
Filed under: uncultured Cytophagales bacterium
Lineage: Bacteria; Pseudomonadati; Bacteroidota; Sphingobacteriia; Sphingobacteriales
Description: bacterial SSU rRNA
Rfam family: Bacterial small subunit ribosomal RNA
Source: RNAcentral
GAUGAACGCUAGCGGCAGGCCUAAUACAUGCAAGUCGAGGGGCAGCACGGGUAGCAAUACUUGGUGGCGACCGGCGCACGGGUGCGUAACGCGCAUGCAAUCUACCUAUUACUGGAGAAUAGCCUUCCGAAAGGAAGAUUAAUGCUCCAUAACAUUAUGAUGUGGCAUCACAUUAUAAUUAAAGUUCCGGCGGUAAUAGAUGAGCAUGCGUGACAUUAGCUAGUUGGUGAGGUAAUGGCUCACCAAGGCUACGAUGUCUAGGGGCUCUGAGAGGAUUGUCCCCCACACUGGUACUGAGACACGGACCAGACUCCUACGGGAGGCAGCAGUAAGGAAUAUUGGUCAAUGGAGGCAACUCUGAACCAGCCAUGCCGCGUGAAGGAUGACGGCCCUAUGGGUUGUAAACUUCUUUUGUAUGGGAAGAAACUCCGAACGUGUUCCGGAGCUGACGGUACCAUAAGAAUAAGGAUCGGCUAACUCCGUGCC